Molecule: long non-coding RNA, 218 nt
Filed under: Brassica rapa (field mustard)
Lineage: Eukaryota; Viridiplantae; Streptophyta; Magnoliopsida; Brassicales; Brassicaceae
Description: long non-coding RNA (BRAP_LNC008554)
Source: RNAcentral
UCUUGGCCUGGUUUCAUCCGUCUUCUAGUUGCUCUUUUGAUUACAUCUCAAGAGUGGUUGGAAGGAUUGAUGUUAGCGGGGCAAAUGAACAUUCGGCAUAUGAGUGGUGAUUGGAUAGCUAGUGUUUGUAGGCUCUGUGCUCGCGCACCCAACUACAGACCAACUAUCCUCCUCAGUUUCUUCACUAGCAUAGUUUAUGCUUGUUGAACUGAUCCGGG